CCCAGCGGCUAUAUCACUCUGCAACUCACACCUGAAGAUAACCCACUGAAUAUAAGCAGGCGUGAGCCUGGUCAGUACCUGGAUGGGAGACCUCCUGGGAAAAAACUAAGGCUGCUGCUGGAA
This 123-nucleotide ribosomal RNA is filed under the name Lepisosteus oculatus (spotted gar). Lineage: Eukaryota; Metazoa; Chordata; Actinopteri; Semionotiformes; Lepisosteidae. The record is from RNAcentral.